CACUUUGUUAUUUUUUUUAUACAUCAUGAAAUAUUGAACAAAAAAGAGGUCAUAAGCCAUUUUGUUGACUUUAUAGGUCUCCUGAGACUUCUUCAAGCUCUCUUCUUGAUUGCUGCCAUACAUCUGGAGUGAGAGCCAGCCAGAGACAAGAUGGCAGGUCUCCAGCUGAGGAAAGAAGAACAGAAGGUAUUUCUCUGUCUGCAGCAGAAAAAAAUGGUAAUUAACACACACUCUGAUCUCAUCUGAAUGUGUUUUUAACAUGGAUGUUCGAGGUUUCUUUUUUUUCUUUUUUCUUUUUUUUAAUAGCCUACUU
This 313-nucleotide long non-coding RNA is filed under the name Anas platyrhynchos platyrhynchos (common mallard). RNAcentral's name for it is "lncRNA (ENSAPLG00000022321.1)". The record is from RNAcentral. Lineage: Eukaryota; Metazoa; Chordata; Aves; Anseriformes; Anatidae.